UUUCCUUCCGCAUCGCCCAGGAUCCCUCCAGGUCGUUAAUCCCCAUCACCCAGCUAAGAGAAGCUCCAUUCCCUCUAGUCGAAAGUGUCUUCAGUAAAAGAACUAGAGAAAAAAUAUUUUUUAAAUAAACUUUUUGCUGAGGCUGCUAGAGAUUAAGAAAAAGGGGUUUUCAGACGAAAUCGUGUUCCUGAAAAAUAGUCUUCUGUCUGAUUUCUCGUCAUAAACGGCUCCUGCAGAGCGAGUUUUCUUUGAGGAGUUAUUUACAUCUUGUUUAAGGAAGAGGAAUCGCCACGAUUAUCUGACUAUAAAUUAAAGGGCCUGCCUUUCUCUUGACCUUUCCGGAUGUAUGAGGCUGUGAACUCCCGAGUCCGACGCCGCGUGCCACACGGAAGAGCCGCUGGUCCCCGCGCUGUCACUCGUCCUCGUGUCUAUCAGCCGUGGGCCGUUUUCUCUAACUGUCUCGAAGUGGAGGCAGCAACUCAGACACCGGGGAAAGUGGGGUGUUAGUUUCAAUUAAGAUAAAUUCCUCAAAUCGACUUUUGUGUAAUGUACUUUUAAAUUGUGCCUUCAGGACACAAAGGAGUGCUUGGAUUUUCUGUGAUGGGAACAGUUCAAACAACGUCCCGGCCUUUCUCAGCCCCAGCUCUGAAGACGCCUGUUAAUUGCCUUUCUCUCCCUUGCUGGCAGCAAGGACUCCACCAGUCAAGUCUUCCCAAUCGUUCUGCUGCUUGAAGACAUACUUCAUCCCCGUUCUUCCCCCGGAACAUCAUUAUCCAAAGCGUUUUCUAUAUUUAAUAUAUAUUGUGCAAAUUGUUUGUUUCUCUUUGA
Molecule: long non-coding RNA, 828 nt
Organism: Equus caballus (horse)
Lineage: Eukaryota; Metazoa; Chordata; Mammalia; Perissodactyla; Equidae
Source: RefSeq, a predicted model, not a curated record